This 72-nucleotide transfer RNA is filed under the name Candidatus Euphemobacter frigidus. RNAcentral's name for it is "tRNA-Val". It matches the Rfam family "tRNA". Rfam says of the family: Transfer RNA (tRNA) molecules are approximately 80 nucleotides in length. The record is from RNAcentral. Lineage: Bacteria; Pseudomonadati; Candidatus Auribacterota; Candidatus Erginobacteria; Candidatus Erginobacterales; Candidatus Erginobacteraceae.
GGGCGAUUAGCUCAGUGGGAGAGCACCUGGAUCACAACCAGGGGGUCACUGGUUCAAACCCAGUAUCGCCCA